This 552-nucleotide unclassified non-coding RNA is filed under the name Hevea brasiliensis (rubber tree). The record is from RNAcentral. Lineage: Eukaryota; Viridiplantae; Streptophyta; Magnoliopsida; Malpighiales; Euphorbiaceae.
CCUGUCCUCUUUUUCUCCUUUCUCCACUUAGAAAACAUGAAAGUAUUAGGAAAAAACCAAACGGCAAACCCUAAGACCCUUUUCUCCCAUUCUCUUGUACUGUUAUCUCAUUCAUUCAUUCAUAAAUUCCUGUAACACACCUAAAAAUCCUAAUUAUUCCCAUUUUUUCUUCCAAUUAAUACCGACCCGGAAGCAUUAUCAUUUCCAUAUAUGCAUAUAUUGAAAAAUUACAUAUAGAUAAAUACUUGUUAUGCUGAUCGUUGUAUAGAGAGAGAGUGAGGGGGAGAAACAGGGAAGAGAUUGAAAAUUGGCUUAUUUUGAAGAGGGGAAAGAAAGCGGAUGGAGGGAAUACCGCACGCAAUACCUCGAACCGUUGAAGAAGUUUUCAGCGACUUCAAAGGCAGACGCAAUGGCUUGAUCAGGGCUCUCACCACCGAUGUUGAGAAGUUUUACCAACAGUGCGACCCAGAAAAGGAGAACCUGUGUCUAUAUUUUGUUCACAUGGGCAUCCUGGAAAUGGUAUCUGUUAUGCCUAAUCUCUCUAUGGCGGGG